Molecule: long non-coding RNA, 795 nt
Organism: Rhipicephalus sanguineus (brown dog tick)
Lineage: Eukaryota; Metazoa; Arthropoda; Arachnida; Ixodida; Ixodidae
Exons: 3
Source: RefSeq, a predicted model, not a curated record
GGGGGCCGUUUGUUUACGUUGAGCCACCGCAAAGAAGUCGCGUCUCGGACGCUCGACCGCCGCCUUGUGCAGGUUUUCCGCUUCAGUCGCCCUUCUUAUCCUGGAUAAUCUACCUCCCCACACCUAAGUUAUGAUUUGCGCUUCGAAGAAUUGCUACUGGCCGGAGAACCAAGAACCUCGUCUCCUCACCAUGCCGGCCGUUUGCGCUGCCUACGGCUGAACGAGCAUCGGCGGCCGAGGCGAUGUGCUCUUUCACAACUUCCAACAUGAGAAAAACAAUCUGCUCAGUGGAUCGCUGCUGUGAAAGGAGAUAAUUUCAAGCCUUCGAUUACCACUAUUCUCUGCUCAAAAUAUUUUCGGGACAGUGACUACUACCAUGUGCAAUGGGAUCUCCGGUGAAGUCUGCGCGACUAAGGCUUGGCGUCGUGCCGUCGAUGUUCGUUUACGAACGGAACGAAUCGCAGGCACCGAGAGCAGCAUUUCCGAAGCGGCGAAAACAUGAGAUUCUUGGACAGUUGCUCUCAGGAGACGUAACCAUCAGCAACACGCCAAGACCAAGUUGUAGCGAAAGAGGUCAUGAUGACAUUGCAGCAGAACCAGGAUAUCAGGCAGCGGUGGGCCUGGUUUGUGAGUUGGGACAAGCUUUAGAAACAUCACCAGAGCCAGCGUAUCAAGUGAACCAUGUUACAGAUAAAUCGGUUCAAGUGCGACUACCAACCAGGCACGAAGCAUCACAAGCAAAUGGAAGGAAAAUCCUGUCAACAAUUGCUCCACAGACAGAACCAUAUGCUGUUU